GCCCCUGUGGGGCACAAAUGGUUAAAGUGCUUGGCUGCUAACCAAAAGGCUGGCAGUUCAAGUCUACCCAGAGGCA
This 76-nucleotide transfer RNA is filed under the name Loxodonta africana (African savanna elephant). It matches the Rfam family "tRNA". From Rfam's summary of the family: Transfer RNA (tRNA) molecules are approximately 80 nucleotides in length. Lineage: Eukaryota; Metazoa; Chordata; Mammalia; Proboscidea; Elephantidae. The record is from Rfam by way of RNAcentral.